AGAAGGGAGAAGACGCAGAGCUACUCAGAUCCAGCUGCCCUUUUGUCUUCUCUGUAAAAGAGACAAAUGUGCAGCUGAAAAUUCUGGAAACAGAUCUUUCCUAGGAGAUGACUGAACUCAUAGAUGGGCAGCGAUGUAAAAGGUGCACUGAGAUGAACAUAUUUUAAUUUUCAGGUCUGGGCUCAGAGCAUUUGCUGAUGAGAUCCCACAGUGUUGCUGGUGAUCUUUGGUGGCAUCAAGAUGACUGAGACCAUUAACAGGAGGAUCCAACGGCUCUGGAAGUCCUCCCUGUGUCUUUAAUUGUGCUGUCCUGGCUGCCUCAAUGACCUGACUGGAUUCAAAACAUGUACCUUUCGGGUCAUUUUGAAUUGGGGGAAGAGCCAGAAGUCGCAUGGUGCCAAAUCCGGUGAUUGAACGUACACCAUGGUGUUUUUAUAAGCCUGUCUUUCCUUUGGAUGGCACUGGGCAGCAGGAUUCACGGUAUUUUUAAAAUCACACUUCAUAUCUACACUCAAGAAAAGGACUUCAGGAACUGCAGCAGAAAGUGGUGGGAACAGUGAGACCCUGGUUUCAGUCCAUGGUUAACAGCUCCAAGGUUCAGACAUCUGGGAAGAAGGUCAUGAUGGAGGGAAGCCGCUCACCUCAGUGCAACUAAGAAGCAGAGAGGGUUGGAAGGAGCUAGGGGGAGUGGAAGGGACUAGGGACAAGAAUACCUUUCUACAUUACACAGUCAGUGCCCUGAUUCUACAGUAAGUCAGCUAUGAACUCAUCAGUAAGUUAAACCAGUGAUGAAGCUGACACUCCUGUUCUCCAAGCACUUUGCAAAGCCCCACUUCUGAGAGCAUGUUUAAUCCAAACCAUAACACUUUGUUUCUUAUAUUUAUGGCUUCUAUUUCUUUGAAUAUUGAUGAGUUUUAGAAUUUUCAGAAUAUUAGGAAUUUGUAAUUCUGAAUUGUCCUGUCUUUGAAUUUUCUGUUGAAAUAACUGUUUCUGUUUUACUAGUGUAUGCAGACUCUUUGUGCACUGUAAUCAUUUGUAAAUCCUGCACCAAAUAUUUAUCUUUAGAUUUUGUAAGGUGGUAAGAGUGGUUCUACCUUAUUUCUGAAGUUUAUCUAUAAAUUUUAUUUGUAUAAGAUUUUUGGGCAUUUUCUGACUGCUAUCUUUCUUUACAGGGAGAAAAAGCAUUGCAAUCCUAUUGAUGACUUUAGGAAUACAUAAUGUAUCUCAUGUCUCUGGGCUAUCACAUGCCCCAUUUAUUUUUUUCCCGAAAUUCUAUUUUUAAACUUACCAUAGUUACAUAUUCUUCAGUAAAGUGAUAUUGACGUGAUUACCUGGAUACAUUUUAUAAUAAGAUACCAUUUUCAGUGAUAAAGUGUGCAAGAAAAUGUCUAAGAUAGUUUUGCACAAUAAACUUUGAUUGCUGAUAUAUGUCAUAGUUAAACGUUGCUCAGGUGCAUGAGGAGUGAGAAGCCCGUUGCCUGUGAGCGAGGCAGGGGACUGUAUUUUGGAUUGUGCCACCAGGUGGCCUUUUGCAUGACGCAGAAUGGUCUCCACCAGUCACAAAUUACAUCUGCUGUGCCUCUAUUUGUUAGACAAUCUGGCACCAGGAACAGCUGAGAAGAAAGACUUGAAAACAUCUUGCUUGAUGGAUGUGCCUAGAUUUAUCACUAAGUCCAAAUAAAAUGUUAAAUGCUAUCAAGAUUCACAAAUCAGGCAUGUCUCUCUUUGAGCCAUGACAAGGUCUUGUUAAAGCUUUUGUGACAGCCACGUGUGAGAGAUACAAUUGGAUUGUAUUCAACAGAAUUUAAUGCUGAUUAUAGCAUACAGUUGAUUAGUGUACAUUUUUAAUCUGACUGAGAUAUGAGGUAGACCAGAGGUCUAGCAUUUAUAUCAUGAUGAUGAAAUUUUUUGGAGCUAGGUUUUUCAACCAGGUAAGAGGAAUGUAGUAUUAAUUAAGCAAGAAGAAAGCGAUUGAUAGCAAGGAAUACAUUGUAAGGUCACCUGUAAUUGAUAAGAUCUGUGUAUGGGUAGCAAAGGGCCAAUUAUGGCAGGCAUAAAUAACACAGGGUAGACAAGAAUCAACUACUAGGGCUUUACUUUGGGGCAAUACUCACACUGGGUGUUUAUGGAUCAUGAAAAGAAAUAUUUACACUUUUACAUUUAUAAAACCUCUAAAUGCCAUGGAGCAGUGCAGAUAUAAACAUUUAAGAAAUUCCAUACUUAUUGUAUCACCUGUUACCAUUUAAUACAACUCUGUCUAAUUUAGGCUGAUGAAGAAAUUUCCAGAAUGGCAUGAAGUUCAUAAAGUCAACCAGAAAACGUGAAUAGGAAGCAAAAGUCGGAUUCUAAUGCCAUCUUGUUAUCAGCACCACAACCAUGUACCCUGCUGAUGCAUGGUGGGUUUCGCUAUGCAGUUCAGGCUGGCCUUGAACUCACUUCGUAGCUCAAGAUGACCUUAAUCUCAAAGCGAUCCUCCUGCCUCAGCCUCCUGAGUACUGGGAUUAUAGGCAUGCACCACCAUACCUGGUUGGAUAUGGCACCAUGCUGAUUCCUCCUCUCUCGGGGAACUUUCUUUCCCCUCCUCCCACAAGAAUGGAAGCACCUGGAUUUCCUUCAGUUUCCUUGGCAAUUAUUGCUCAUUGUUCUUUGCGUCGUCACUAACUUGCCCUUCUCCCUUAAUCCAACCUCAAAAGCAGGCAUUACUGAAGCCUCUGUCUUCAUAAACAACAGCAACCUACAGAAAAAUCCCACAUUUAUUUUAAAGUCCACACUCUCUUUCCAAUCUCACCUGCUGACCGACAGUUUGGUGAGGAUGUCAAAUAGACACCUCAAACUUAGCACACAAAUCCAAAAUCAAGAAUAUGAACGUUAACCUCCUUAACCUUUAUUUUGUUAUCCAGCCUUCUGUCUGUUGGUGAAACACACCAGACAGGUUAAGCAAUCCAAAUACCUGGGCAUAAUUUUUUCUUCCUCUUUCAGUCUCACCAAAUCCUAUUGCUGUAACAUUCCAGAGGCGAACGGUUGUCUUUUUAUAACCUAAUCUUGAAAGUGGCCUAUCAGCAUUUCUGUACUAUGUUCCUUAGAAGUGAGUCUUUAAAUCCAGUUUGCACUCCAGGGAAAUGGAUUGCAUGAGAAGGCUCCCCUUUGGGGCCAUUAUAGAGGCUCCUAUGCAUUCAGCCGUUAGGGCAUCCUUGGCAAAGAGUUCUCACUCUUCUGCUGUGCUCCAAGCCUUGCCAAGACCUUGUCUCCUCACAAAGUCAUAUAGCCUGGCAGCUGAGGUUGACAAUGUUUCUUUUGGAUUCCAGGCCCUGGCUCAGAGCCUAACAAUGAUUUGCUGAGCUGAAUUGAAUUGUAUAACUCUCAGCAGCAGUUAGAAUACACAGUGUUGUACGAUAUACAAUGGUGAUGGUUAGGACUAAACUAAGAAGCAGACUCAUUAUAUGGAUGCCUCUUUUGAAGAUACGAUAGUUCAGUAUUUUACUAUUUUUCCACAGUGUUCUAAAAGCACAUCCAACGUUUUCAGAGAUUACCCAGUAGGAGUGUGGAACACUAUGUAUUAUAACAGAAAAGGAGGAAGGAGGCAGGCAGAGAAAAAUAGAGAUGGAUCUUGAUAAGGGCUCAGAUGAUGAUUUCCAGGCUGCUCUGCAUCUUUCCAUAAUACUUUAGAAAAUUCUGGAUGAGGUUAAGGAUAGGAAGGCAAAAGAAGAGAAGUUAGCGAAAUAGGGUUUCAGGGGACUCCUGUGCUGUGUAUCAGUUGUAUUACACAAGGAACUAAGCAAGGGAAUCUCCUAGCACGGCCCUCAGGAUUCCGAACGAUACAGACUAAGGGAAGCAUAAAUAAUAUUCACAUUUUUCCUGUCAUAUACAUGUGAUUUCUUAGCAUUUUUUCCUAGGGAGCUGGGUUAAAAAUAUAAUUUCCUUUUUCUCUACCAAAGGCAUAAACUUUAACUAUGUAGCACUAUGCAACCCCAGGCCUUCUUUGUCCCUGUUGACCCUUCAUCCUCUCCAGACAUUCAUUUCCUAAGCUGUGAAACCCAAUUCUGUGUCACACAACGCAAGUCUAAGAGGAAAGAAAAAAUGUAGCGUGAGACAGCAAGUCAAGAAACAUCCCUUUCAAUGAUUUCACUUCUCUAUCAAAUGGACUCAUCUCCAAGGCCUAAAAUUCUUAUGGAGAAAGGAAGAUAUGGAUUCAUUUACACAGUAUCUAAUUAUAGAGUAGCUAUUUAGGGCAUUAGAGGGUUCUUUAGACAGGGGAAUCAGAGAUAAAGGUACUACAACCAGCCUUCAGUAAUUUUACAUGUGUGUGCAGGUAAGAUCUCCGUUAUAGAGUGUGUUGUGGCCUGAGACAGGGGGCGUAGAGUAGGAGCUCCCAGUGACAGCAGAGAAGGGGACGUCCUACUAGGACUGAAGUCCAAACUGAGACUUCAGGAAAGAGAACGAGGAAGAAUAUUGUGGGGGAGAAGUUAUUGGCUAAACAUAAAAAGAGAGGGACAUCCCAAUAGAAAGCAAAGCUUAGUAAAGUUCAGACAGAGCAUGAUUUCAAGGAACUACAAUUUUAUCUAGAAGGAAAAGUGGGGAAAAGGAAGAUCAAAAAAGAUAGACAAGCAGAGGCUUGCCAAGGGAAGGAAUGCAGAGUUAUCCAACAAAUCAUGGCAAUCGCAAACACUCCAAGCAUAAUGACAUAACCAAAUUUACACAUUACCUGGAGCUUUUUGAUACCGUGGGGAGAAAGGAUUGGCAGGAAAACCCACUAGGAAGUAACCCCUGAUACUGAGGCCAGGUGGGAGAGCAAGUUCAUGCAAAAAGACUUAGUCGAUAUCGUAUAUGUUCAGGCAAACUCAAACAAGAAAUAUGCAGAGAUACUUAUAGGCUUACCAAGACUUUUUUAAAAUUUGACUUUUGACAAUUAUGUUUAGCCAGAACAUGUUAAAACAUUCAUAGUCAAAUGUAUUCAUUCUGGUGUAACUUGUCUGUUUUAUGUUACAUGGUAGCCUUUCCAAACCAUAAGGUUUUAUACACAUUGUAUGAAAUGUUUUAUAUAUUUGUUUUAGUUGAUAACAAUUGCCUAUGUGUGUGUGACACAAUGUGAUAUUUCGAUCUAUGCAUGCAUUGUGGAAAGGUUCAACUGAGCAAGUUAACAUCUUCAUCACCUUAUCAGUAUACCAGUUUUUGUGGUAGAAAGUUGAAAACCUGAUCUCUUUGUAGAUUAAAAAUAGAUGUUAGGAUUUACUGUGGCCAUAUACAAGUACAGCUUAUGGUUAAAAUGUAUUCCUCCUGUCCAGCUGAAAUUUUGCACCCUCUCCUCCUGCCCCUGCCUCUGAUAAGCCAUCUUUCUUCUGUUUCUAUAAUCUUGACUUUUAAAGAUUCCACGUAUAAGCGAGAUCAUACAGUAUUUGAAUUUCUGUUUGUGUCUUAUAUCACUUAGCAUAAUGCCCACUACAUAUAACCAUGUUUCUGUGAAGGGCAAAAUUUCCUCCUUUUUAAGAUUAUAUAGUAUUCCAUUUUCUUUAUCCAUUGAUGGAAACUUAGGUUGCUUCUGUAUCUUGAUUAUUGUGAAUAAUGCUAGAAUUCAUAUGGAAAUGUAGAUAGAUCUUGGGAAUGUCAGUGUCAGUUCCUUUGGAUGUGUGCCCAGAAGUGGUUUGUACUUUUAGUUUUUUUGAGGAAAAUGUCUAAAAUUUACAUUAUUACCAACACUAUUUAAUAGUUUCCCUUUCUUUACAUCCUCAUCAAUAUUUGUUAACCUUAGUCUUUUUGGUAAUAGCCUUUUGAAUAGUAGUAAUAUCUGACUGUAGUUGUAAUCUGUAUUUCCCUGGAGGGAGGCGUUAAACACUAUUGGGGGGGGGAGACUAGGGAUCAACCUCACACACUUUUCUUAUAGAAGCUGAAAUUUUAUCUUUUUUUUUGUAAGAUGUUUCUUCAGAAUAUUUGUUCCUUUUAUAAUUGGUUUUCUUCUUGCUGUAUUGAGUUGUCUGAGUUCCUUAUAUAUUUUGGAUAUUAGCCUUUUAUCAAAUAUAUUGCUCGCAAAUAUUCUCUCCCACUGUCUAGCUUGUCUCUUUACUCUAUGAUGUUCAGAAACUGUUUAGUUUGAUGUAAUUUUAUGUUUAUUUUUCUUGCACUUUUUGUGAUUUUGGAGUGCUAUCCAAGAACUCACUGUCCCAAUCUUUUUCUUGUCUUUUUAAGACAGGGCUUCACUGUGUAGUUCGGGUAGGCUUUUGACUCAGUUUUUAUCCUAGGCUGGUCUCAGAUUUGCAGAGAUCAUCUUGCCUCAGCCUUCAUGGUGCUGGAAUUAUAGGCUUGCACUACCACACCUGGCUUGUCUAGUAAUUUUAGAAUUUCAAGUCUUACGGUUGAUUCCCUUAUCAAUUUUGAGUUAAUUUUUUGUAUAUGGUACGAGAUGAGGGUCCAUUUACAUUCUUCUGCAUGUGAAUAUGUGGUUUUUUCACCAGCCCUGUUCUUUUCUCAUUGUGUUUCUUGGCACCUUUGCUUCCGAUGCAUUAUUUGAUCUCUGUGAAUUUAGUUUCUUGUUUCUUUCUUUACUGCUCUCUGACACUUCACUUUAUCAGGAUCAUAAGUGCUCGUACAUUGUUAACUCAGUGAAAACUUUUCUGCUCCCUAUUUGACCACUCAGCAGUAUUCUCCAUACUCCUGCGAUGGCCGGCUCCUUCUGGACUUCUCCUAACUAUUAUAACCUAUGUUAUUUUUUUCCUCUCACUAGCUCCUCUUUUUCAGUCUUUUCUUCUAGUCCAUAGUUUUUUAUUGACUCUUAAAAAUUAGGAUGUACUUUGGCUCAGUUCUAGGCCCUCUGUUUUAACCCUCUCCACUCAGGUUAUAUCACACACUUUCACAGUGUCAGUUGCAGUCUAAAUUCCCAUGACUUUUCAUUUCUUUUAAAACAAAGUUCUUAUGGAAAUGCAGGAGAUGGUAAAUGGUGUCCUUUCCCUGACUGUAAUUUAAACCUCUAGUUCUGUACUCAGAAGCACUAACAUCCCUUCCUUUCUGUCGCAUCACGGCAUUCCUUCGUGUUCCUGGGAACUUGGGCACUUUUCUCCUGCCAUGUGUUCAAGUGUACUACAAAUCCUCCUUUAACUUGGUUGUCUGACCCUUACUUAUUCUGUAGGACAAGCCACUUCAUCAGAGAAGCACUUGAAUACUCAGAUUAGGUCAGGUUCAUUUUUUAUAUAAGUUCAUAGUACUAUAUAUUUCUCCAGAGAAUCAAUUAGUUAAUUAUUUGUGGAAUUAACAUUUAUUUCCUUACUGGUCAGUAAGACCCAUAGAUUUAUACUAUUUGUUGCCCAGCAUAUCGUAAAUAUCCAAUAUCAUGAACUCUUUCUCUAAACAAACAUUUUUAAAGAGCCCCCUUAAAAUCUAAUGGUAUAAUCUACACAAAACAUAGAUAUACUGUAGUCUCUCCCCUAAUAUUCCUUAAGGUACUCCAUCCCAUUGUCCUUCCCGCCUCACUAUUUCUAGCUUGCUGAGCUUUCGUUAUAUGUGGGUAGUGCAUUUUGUCGAGUUCUUUUUCUGCAUCUGUUGGUAUGAUCAUGUAAUUUUUCUUUAGCCUGCUAAUGUAAUAGAUUAUAUUAAUUGAUUUUAUAAUGUUGAAUUAGCUUUGCCUAU
This is a long non-coding RNA of Cavia porcellus (domestic guinea pig), 7614 nucleotides long. RefSeq lists it as uncharacterized. NCBI's taxonomy places the organism in Eukaryota, Metazoa, Chordata, Mammalia, Rodentia, Caviidae. The transcript has 5 exons. The record is from RefSeq and is a predicted model, not a curated record.